GUUGGUUAAGAUGGAUAUAUGAUGUCUCUCCUCUCUUUUUUUUGUUUCCUUCUCUAAUUUGUGAAUCCAAGAAAUAUAUAUGUAGUAGUUUCCAUGAAUGGUGUUUCCAUGCUUGGGAAGAGUGAGAAAGAUAAGUUUUCUUUUUAGUUUUUUAAAUUAUAUGGUUUAGGAUGUUAUUUUUUAUGUAAAUUUGAUUUAAUUAUACGAUAGGCAUUUUUUAUAUAUGAGGUUGCUUCAGAUGUUGCCUCUCCUCUCACCAUUUCGAUGUUUCCUUAUCAAAAUUUUUAGUGAUAUAAUAUAUUUAGUUUCAACCAACAGUUUUUUUGUACCUUGUCAAAUUUAUUUUAGUGAUAUAAAGAUAUAUAUUUAGGGUU
Molecule: long non-coding RNA, 374 nt
Filed under: Sorghum bicolor (sorghum)
Lineage: Eukaryota; Viridiplantae; Streptophyta; Magnoliopsida; Poales; Poaceae
Description: long non-coding RNA (SBIC_LNC006739)
Source: RNAcentral